RNAcentral lists this ribosomal RNA (420 nucleotides) under uncultured bacterium. Its description in RNAcentral is "bacterial SSU rRNA". It matches the Rfam family "Bacterial small subunit ribosomal RNA", at positions 355 to 774 of the family's 1533-position model. The record is from RNAcentral.
UAAGGAAUAUUGCUCAAUGGGAGAAAUCCUGAAGCAGCAACGCCGCGUGGAGGAUGAAGGGUCUAUGACUUGUAAACUCCUGUAAAGAAGGAAAAAAUUCCCAUUUGAUGGGAGAUGAUGGUACUUCUGGAGUAAGCCCCGGCUAACUACGUGCCAGCAGCCGCGGUAAUACGUAGGGGGCAAGCGUUGUCCGGAUUUACUGGGUGUAAAGGGUGCUCAGGCGGAUUUGUAAGUCAGAGGCGAAAUCUUACAGCUUAACUGUGAAACUGCCUUUGAUACUGCAAGCCUAGAGUAUGGAAGAGAGUGAUGGAAUAUCUGGUGUAGCAGUGAAAUGCGUAGAUAUCAGAUAGAACACCAAUGGCGAAGGCAGUCACUUGGUCCAUUACUGACGCUAAAGCACGAAAGCGUGGGUAGCAAACA